This 73-nucleotide transfer RNA is filed under the name Verrucomicrobiota bacterium. RNAcentral's name for it is "tRNA-Ala". It matches the Rfam family "tRNA". From Rfam's summary of the family: Transfer RNA (tRNA) molecules are approximately 80 nucleotides in length. Their secondary structure includes four short double-helical elements and three loops (D, anti-codon, and T loops). Lineage: Bacteria; Pseudomonadati; Verrucomicrobiota. The record is from RNAcentral. RNAcentral also lists the same sequence under 2 other names.
GGGGACUUAGCUCAGUUGGUAGAGCAUCUGAUUUGCAUUCAGAGGGUCAGGAGUUCGAAUCUCCUAGUCUCCA